CCUCCAGACUCCUACGGGAGGCAGCAGUGGGGGAUAUUGCACAAUGGGGGAAACCCUGAUGCAGCGACGCCGCGUGAGUGAAGAAGUAUUUCGGUAUGUAAAGCUCUAUCGGCAGGGAAGAAGAUGACAGUACCUGAGUAAGAAGCCCCGGCUAACUACGUGCCAGCAGCCGCGGUACUACGUAGGGGGCAAGCGUUAUCCGGAUUUACUGGGUGUAAAGGGAGCGUAGACGGUUAUGUAAGUCUGGAGUGAAAGCCCGGGGCCCAACCCCGGGACUGCUUUUGAAACUUUGUAACUAGAGUACAGGAGGGGCAUGCUGAAUUCCUGGUGUAGCGGUGAAAUGCGUAGAUAUCAGGAGGAACACCGGUGGCGAAGGCGGCCUGCUGGACUGCAACUGACGUUGAGGCCCGAAAGCGUGGGGAGCAAACAUGAUUAGAUACCCCCGUA
RNAcentral lists this ribosomal RNA (447 nucleotides) under uncultured bacterium. RNAcentral's name for it is "bacterial SSU rRNA". It matches the Rfam family "Bacterial small subunit ribosomal RNA", at positions 328 to 792 of the family's 1533-position model. The record is from RNAcentral.